RNAcentral lists this ribosomal RNA (227 nucleotides) under uncultured bacterium. RNAcentral's name for it is "partial 16S ribosomal RNA". It matches the Rfam family "Bacterial small subunit ribosomal RNA", at positions 107 to 334 of the family's 1533-position model. The record is from RNAcentral.
UGAGUAACACGUAUCCAACCUGCCGUCUACUCUUGGACAGCCUUCUGAAAGGAAGAUUAAUACAAGAUGGCAUCAUGAGUCCGCAUGUUCACAUGAUUAAAGGUAUUCCGGUAGACGAUGGGGAUGCGUUCCAUUAGAUAGUAGGCGGGGUAACGGCCCACCUAGUCUUCGAUGGAUAGGGGUUCUGAGAGGGAGGUCCCCCACAUUGGAACUGAGACACGGUCCAA